AUAAAAGUGGUGUGGUUGACACAAAUCUGUGGAGGCUUGUUUCCACCACUGGGAGUGGAUAUCUACGAGUCAAAAUUUUUACCUACUAACUCAAACUUCUGAUAAAAUAACUUCAGUGGCGGGAAUGUGCUUCCAUAAAGUCGUUUCUGGUUAAAAAGGCUAAAGCUGGAAAUUUCCUAGCAGUAGCAGGUCAUAGGCUUGACUACCAGUACACAUUUACACACACACAGAGGGCAACAAGUUACUUAUUUUUCUGAGACUAGUAAGAAACUGAACUGUUUGACUGAUCUCAGCCUCAUCUGGGGUCAGCUGUGAAGCCGUACCUUAUUGCCCAACGAUGUUGCAGACAUCAUUGCUUCUCUGGAAAUGUCUUUCACAAGAGUGACUUUGGUUUGGGAUAUUCAACCAUGACAUACCCCGCUGCCAUGCUGACUGACAGUCGGGGUGCCGGAGACGCUGCUAUCUCUCGCCUUGCCGCUGCCUGAUCCUGGGGAGCAUCCCUGACCACCUCACCCACCAGUUUCAGCUGCUUGAAGACUCCAGUGUUUGCUGACGAGGCUGCGGGGGCCUGUUACUCCCACACCGGGGGGUCAGCUAAUCCACUCGCUGCCCCGUGGAGUGUGAGUGAUGGUGGCCCAGCACGGGCAGGCUUGAGUGAGCAGCAGAUAGAUAUGAAACAAACCCCCGGAGAGCGGACCGGGGCGACCACGAUCAGGAAAAUGUCUGCUACCCCGCUUCGAGCCUCUGCUGUGAUCACUGAGAAGGGUCAGUGACAUCC
Molecule: long non-coding RNA, 778 nt
Organism: Astatotilapia calliptera (eastern happy)
Lineage: Eukaryota; Metazoa; Chordata; Actinopteri; Cichliformes; Cichlidae
Source: Ensembl